This 274-nucleotide ribosomal RNA is filed under the name uncultured bacterium. RNAcentral describes it as "partial 16S ribosomal RNA". It matches the Rfam family "Bacterial small subunit ribosomal RNA", at positions 523 to 796 of the family's 1533-position model. The record is from RNAcentral.
AUACGGAGGGUGCAAGCGUUACUCGGAAUCACUGGGCGUAGAGCGCGCGCAGGCGGUCUUUUAAGUUGGAUGUGAAAGCCUACGGCUCAACCGUAGAACUGCAUCCAAAACUAUUAGACUUGAGUGUGGGAGAGGAAGAUGGAAUUAGUUGUGUAGGGGUAAAAUCCGUAGAGAUAACUAGGAAUACCAAAAGCGAAGGCAAUCUUCUGGAACACUACUGACGCUGAGGCGCGAAAGCGUGGGGAGCAAACAGGAUUAGAAACCCUAGUAGUCC